RNAcentral lists this ribosomal RNA (460 nucleotides) under uncultured bacterium. Its description in RNAcentral is "partial 16S ribosomal RNA". It matches the Rfam family "Bacterial small subunit ribosomal RNA", at positions 338 to 795 of the family's 1533-position model. The record is from RNAcentral.
CCUACGGGUGGCCGCCGUGAGGAAUAUUGGUCAAUGGACGAGAGUCUGAACCAGCCAAGUAGCGUGAAGGAUGACUGCCCUAUGGGUUGUUAACUUCUUUUAUAUGGGAAUAAAACAGGGUAUGCAUACCCUCUUGUAUGUACCAUAUGAAUAAGGAUAGGCUAACUCCGUGCCAACCGCCGCGGUACUACGGAGGAUACGAUCGUUUUCCGGAUUUAUUGGGUUUGAAUGGAGCGUAGGUGGAUUGUUAAGGCAGUUGUGAAAGUUUGCGGCUCAACCGUAAAAUUGCAGUUGAAACUGGCAGUCUUGAGUACAGUAGAGGUGGGCGGAAUUCGUGGUGUAGCGGUGAAAUGCUUAGAUAUCACGAAGAACUCCGAUUGCGAAGGCAGCUCACUGGACUGCAACUGACACUGAUGCUCGAAAGUGUGGGUAUCAAACAGGAUUAGAUACCCGAGUAGUC